This 682-nucleotide long non-coding RNA is filed under the name Equus caballus (horse). Its description in RNAcentral is "lncRNA (ENSECAG00000043016.2)". Lineage: Eukaryota; Metazoa; Chordata; Mammalia; Perissodactyla; Equidae. The record is from RNAcentral.
GAUUGAUAGGUGCUAGGUAGCCAGAGAACAGUGUGAAGAGCAUAAAAAGAAUGGGCAAGGCACAGCAGUAAAGAGACAGAGUGCUCUAAAUCCAAGAACUGUGCAUUAUUCUGCAUAGGUGAAGAGUAGAGUGGAUGUGGGAAGUCAUAAGGGCUGAGACUAGAGAUGUAGGCAGGGACAAGAUGAUGCAAAGUCUCAUACAACAUUCUGAGGAAGACGUUUACCCUGAAAGAAAAACCCCACUCUUCUGGUCUGUAGCACGUGUUCUAUUAUUUUAAGGAACAUUGCUACCAAGAACAUCAAGAAGAGCUGCUGAAUGAUAGGCAUUUGGAGAGCAGUUUGCCAGGAAAGCCGCUGUCUCAAGAAUAUCAAGGAGCGGAGUCUUUCCAGACCACAACUCCUCGCUCCAGGCGUUCGAAUCUGCCUCAAACAAAAGAGGAGACAACGGCGAAGGACGCCCCCCUGCCAUCCUCCUAUCUCACCAUGGCUCCCGCCUCGCUGCAAGCAGCCCCUCAAGGCCAAACGCAGGCUGGUGGGAAAACACCGACCUGCACAAGCUACAUGCGCCCUCUCCCCUACCCAAAACCCCGAAUAAAAAUCCCUACCCAUCCCUCAUCGGGGAGCUAGAAAUUUUUGAGGCAUGAGCCCCAGCUUUGCUCCCUAUGCCUGGCAUAGUAAAAAC